GCGGGAGAAAGGGCGGAAGGCCAGAGUGUUGCGUUAGGUGUGCGUACGGCUGUUCGUUGCCCGGGAGGAGUUGCUUUUUCGGCGUGUAGACCUCCUCUUUUCGCGCGGAGGACUCUUCUUUCGUCGCACCUCCCAGGCUCUUUACGUUGUUGCUUGGGAGCGUCAGCUUUGAGCCAGGGCGCGCGCCCAUUUCAGCGGAAAAGACUAAAGAUUAGAUUGGAAGAAAAGAGAGUAGAAGCCAUGUUUCGAAGACCUGUAGUACAGGUGCUUCGCCAGUUUGUAAGACAUGAGUCUGAAGUAGCUAGCAGUUUGGUUCUCGAGAGAUCUCUGAAUCGCGUGCAGUUGCUUGGUCGUGUAGGUCAGGACCCUGUCAUGAGACAGGUAGAAGGAAAAAACCCAGUCACAAUAUUUUCCCUAGCAACAAAUGAGAUGUGGCGAUCAGGGGAAAACGAAACCUACCAAAUGGGUGAUGUCAGUCAAAAGACAACAUGGCAUAGAAUUUCAGUGUUCCGACCGGGCCUCAGAGACGUGGCGUAUCAGUAUGUGAAAAAGGGGUCUCGAAUUUUUGUGGAAGGGAAAGUAGACUAUGGUGAAUAUACGGAUAAAAAUAAUGUGAGACGACAAGCAACAACAAUUAUAGCUGAUAAUAUUAUAUUUCUGAGUGACCAGAUGAAAGAGAAGCCGUAGACUGGAGGAUUCUUCUCUGGCCGGUGUUUGCUCUCUGCCAUCCUUUGAACCUCAAAGUCCUGCUUGUCCAUAUUGGUGUACAUCUUGACACUUUCUUGUUUUUCUCCUCUACCUGUCAUUUGGGGAAAAAACUGGUCUGCCAUAGUAGUUCACUGAAGGCUGUGCAAUCAGAGAGCCUGCAUUUGAAUCUCUGCUUUGGUCAGAGCAGAUGAGUGAACUCUGGAAAGUUCCUUCAGUGACCUAAGUCUGCUGGGAGUCUCAUCCUGUGUGCUUCUCUUCACCGUCGUCUGACUCUUUCUUCCCUAAAAUGUGGCCGUGGUGGCUGAAUCUCCAGGAGCCAUCUUGGAACGUGAGGUGGUCUUCAGGCUGGAAGACAGAGGAAGCUGGGAUCCAUGAUGACCGUGGGCCAUCAUACCAGUCCCGGACAGCCUACUUCUGGACUUCUUUUGGCGACACAAAUAAAUCUGCCUUGUAACUA
Cervus elaphus (red deer) is the source of this 1165-nucleotide RNA transcript. It is a transcript of the gene named single stranded DNA binding protein 1, with no coding region annotated. Lineage: Eukaryota; Metazoa; Chordata; Mammalia; Artiodactyla; Cervidae. The record is from RefSeq and is a predicted model, not a curated record. The transcript has 9 exons.